AUUGAACGCUGGCGGCAUGCCUUACACAUGCAAGUCGAACGGUAACAAGGUCUUCGGAUGCUGACGAGUGGCGAACGGGUGAGUAAUACAUCGGAACGUGCCCGAUCGUGGGGGAUAACGCAGCGAAAGCUGUGCUAAUACCGCAUACGAUCUACGGAUGAAAGCGGGGGAUCGCAAGACCUCGCGCGGACGGAGCGGCCGAUGGCAGAUUAGGUAGUUGGUGGGAUAAAGGCUUACCAAGCCGACGAUCUGUAGCUGGUCUGAGAGGACGACCAGCCACACUGGGACUGAGACACGGCCCAGACUCCUACGGGAGGCAGCAGUGGGGAAUUUUGGACAAUGGGCGAAAGCCUGAUCCAGCCAUGCCGCGUGCAGGAUGAAGGCCUUCGGGUUGUAAACUGCUUUUGUACGGAACGAAAAAAGUCUUCUCUAAUACAGGGGGCGAAUGACGGUACCGUAAGAAUAAGCACCGGCUAACUACGUG
This 484-nucleotide ribosomal RNA is filed under the name uncultured bacterium. Its description in RNAcentral is "bacterial SSU rRNA". It matches the Rfam family "Bacterial small subunit ribosomal RNA", at positions 30 to 507 of the family's 1533-position model. The record is from RNAcentral.